This is a non-coding RNA of Paramuricea clavata, 83 nucleotides long. The record is from the annotation of a GenBank genome assembly. NCBI's taxonomy places the organism in Eukaryota, Metazoa, Cnidaria, Anthozoa, Malacalcyonacea, Plexauridae.
CCCGAAUCUUCAUCAGUGCUAAUAAUAUGAAGCAUAUAUUAUUAUUAUAUGCUUCAUAUUAUUAGCACUGAUGAAGAUCCGGG